Molecule: unclassified non-coding RNA, 226 nt
Filed under: rhizosphere metagenome
Description: partial ribosomal RNA internal transcribed spacer region
Source: RNAcentral
GUAGGUGAACCUGCGGAAGGAUCAUUAAUGAGUCAGGGUCUUCAGGCCUGAAACUCCAACCCUAUGUAUAUCUACCACGUUGCUUUGGCGGGCCCGUCUUAACCGACCGUGGGAGGCUGGUCUUCUCGCCAGUGCCCGUCAGUAGCCCUUUUAAAUUCGUUAUAAUAGUGAUGUCUAAGUCUAAAUUAAAUCGUUAAAACUUUCAACAACGGAUCUCUUGGUUCUG